RNAcentral lists this small RNA (76 nucleotides) under Xanthomonas bromi. RNAcentral's name for it is "sX9 sRNA". It matches the Rfam family "Xanthomonas sRNA sX9". Lineage: Bacteria; Pseudomonadati; Pseudomonadota; Gammaproteobacteria; Lysobacterales; Lysobacteraceae. The record is from RNAcentral.
AUGUACCCCUUGUACCAUCCGGUUCCCGCGCGCCGCCCGCACCCGCCCGACGACCGCUCGCGACGUUUUGUUAGCC